AUUGAACGCUGGCGGCAGGCCUAACACAUGCAAGUCGAGCGGAGCGGCGUACGGGUGAGUAAUGCCUAGGAAUCCGCCUGGUAGUGGGGGAUAACGUCGGGAAACGGGCGCUAAUACCGCAUACGAUCAAAUGAGACUAGGUCGGAUUAGCUAGUUGGUGGGGUAAAGGCCUACCAAGGCGACGAUCCGUAACUGGGCUGAGGGGAUGAUCAGUCACACUGGAACGGAGACACGGUCCAGACUCCUACGGGAGGCAGCAGUGGGGAAUAUUGGACAAUGGGCGAAAGCCUGAGCAAGCCAUGCCGCGUGUGUGAAGAAGGUCUUCGGAUUGUAAAGCACUUUAAGUUGGGAGGCGUUACCAACAGAAUAAGCACCGGCUAACUACGUGCCAGCAGCCGCGGUAAUUC
RNAcentral lists this ribosomal RNA (407 nucleotides) under uncultured bacterium. Its description in RNAcentral is "partial 16S ribosomal RNA". It matches the Rfam family "Bacterial small subunit ribosomal RNA", at positions 30 to 526 of the family's 1533-position model. The record is from RNAcentral.